Molecule: non-coding RNA, 30 nt
Filed under: Rattus norvegicus (Norway rat)
Lineage: Eukaryota; Metazoa; Chordata; Mammalia; Rodentia; Muridae
Source: RNAcentral
UGCUUAUCUAAGUCUAAGUUACCUUGCUGC